RNA transcript from Bombyx mori (domestic silkworm), 7280 nucleotides. It is a transcript of the gene named probable RNA-directed DNA polymerase from transposon BS, with no coding region annotated. NCBI's taxonomy places the organism in Eukaryota, Metazoa, Arthropoda, Insecta, Lepidoptera, Bombycidae. The record is from RefSeq and is a predicted model, not a curated record. The transcript has 4 exons.
GUCAUGCACGCCGCCUGCACCAGCGCGAACUUAGACAGUAAUUUUACACUAUUCGGCAGAGUUCUGCAACCGUUAUGAGCAACUGGACAUCCUAGUGUAGAUCGGAGAAUGCAAGACACGUAGGAAAAUCAUUAGGUGAAAAUCACCGGAUUCCCACCCGCGCGGCAGGUGGGGUAUGUGGGAGUUGAACCUCACUAAAAACUCCUGCCGCUCACAACCGGCGCCCUACCUCGGACCGGGCCGGAGCCCAGUCGAGGCUAUUGAAACGGCGGGACAGGGUUGACGCAGAGCACAUUACAUCCAUCCCACCGUCCCACGGACGCCGGACCGGCGGCCGCCAGUGACACGACCACCGGUUCCCUCGUUCAGCGGGACGGUUAGGGCCUGCUUAGGGAAUUUUAAAAUUUAUUUGUCGAAUGUAUAUCCUUCACAACUGGGCCUACUGAGAGCCAUCUAGAUUUCUAUGACCUGUUGCCUAUCUGUCGUCUCAAGGUGAUGACGGCAUGGCGGCUUCGGUAAAUAAUUAACACCAGACCACCACCACCACUGUGUGAGUCCGCACGGAUAGGUACCACCGUCAUGCCUAUUUCUGCCGUGAAGCAGUAAUGUUUCGGUUUGAAGGGUGGGGCAGUCGUUGUAACUAUACUGAGAUCUUAGAACUUAUAUCUCAAGGUGGCUGUCGGCACUUAUGCUGUAGAUGUCUAUGGGCUCCGGUAACCGCUUAACAUCAGGUGGGCUGUGAGCUCGUCCAUCCAUCUGAGCAAUAAAAAAAAGGAAAAGAAAAUUUCUCAAAAGCCUGGUGGUUUGCAAGUAACGGCUUAGCUCUGUCUCUGGCAUAGCUGACGCCCAUGAAAUACCAUACCUGCUCACCAUUACAUAGGACAUAUGCACAUCUGCCUACAUUGGCUAUAAAAAGAAUAUCUACUCAUGAAUGCCCGAAACUAUCAAAUAAAACUUAAAAAGAAUUUGUAUUUUAGCGCCUGAACAUAAAUGCCGAGCCAAAAGAUAUGAGCAGAGAAUACUUUACUUUUAUGUUUUGCUAAUUGAUUACAUUUUGUUUUGUUUUGGAACGAAGUUCCUUAUGGGACGAUGCGGAGGGGUAUAGCCCGAGAGCCCGUGGGAUCUACCUGUAUGUAUUUGACCAGACCUGAAUUUUCGUACAUUGAGACCCCUAUACCUACCAUGCAUGAAUUGGGGACUCACUAAGCUCAAAGUGGUCGACGCGCCGAGCGCUCAGGUAGGACAGGUACCGAUUUUGACGGAUUUUAAGUCCAUUUGACCACGUCUGCCGUUUUGAAAUUUUGAAAAUAUAUGAUUAUUAUUAUCGGAAAAUAAGAAUGGCAGACCAUUAUCGCGCAUUUUACUUUGUGGCAGACCACUUUGAAAAUGCUAAAUUGUAUUGAAAAUGCAAAAUUUUGAAAGUAAUUGACUAGAUCUGCCAUUGUUUUAAUAAUAUGUUGUUUAUUAUAGUCUUAAAAACUUAUAUUGAUCACGGCAGACCUCUACAUUGCGUACAUACAUCAACAUAUAAUAAAAUCUUAGCUACUACCCGGCCAGAUGUAUAUUAUGUUUUCCGUUCACUGUUUUAGAGGAAUAUAAUUUACUUGCGAUUUACUUUAGCAAUGUAUUUACCGAAAUUAAUAUUUUUUUAUAUUAUAUAUACUAAACUUCAUUAGUUUGACAAUUAAGAAGUGAAUUUUUUAUGGAAUAAUUAUAAAUAAUACGGUAUAAUGCUGAUCAAAAAAUAAUUCAAUUCCUCAUUUUUAUCAUUCAACAUUUAACUUGCCAGCUAUACAAUGCCAAAAAAUCUAGUGAUGUAGAUGAUGGAAGGUUCCAGCUAUUCGUUAGCAACUAUAAAUAUUCAGACAUCAAUGAAAAUUAUAGAAAAAAAAUCAAAAAUUUGAGGCAAGCUCAAUACCACCGCAUAAGAGUGAGCUUUAUCAACAACUUUUGAGGGCCCACUAUAUUUCUUCUAUUUGGAGAAAUGCUUACAAAAAGCAACUGACAACUUUAGACCCAUUGGAGUAUGGUUGGAUUGAGCAGGACAACAUAUAUGCCUUCAAAGGGUUCGAAGGUGACCAACUUCCAUAUUUUGUGAGUGACUUAAUCACCAAUGUUCCUGGUAAGUUGAUAACAAUUCUUUCUCGAACAUGUUCAGAUGAAUUUACGUUCAUUUUACAAUUUAUGUUUUAUUUUUGCAGUAUUCGAUUCAAUGGUUGAUGAAGACGAGUCGCCUAACGAUAAAGAUGACUCCGAUGAUGAUGAUGAUGAAUGAAGAUUGAUAUAUAUAUAUAUAAUAUGUAAUGCAUGCAUGAUAUAUUUUUUUAACUGAUUUAACACUUUUAAAUUUUGUCUUGACGAAAUAAAAAUGAGGAAUUGAAUUCUUUUUUGAUCAGCAUUGUACCGUAUUAUUUAUAAUUAUUCCAUAAAAAAUUCACUUCUUAAUUGUCUAACUAAUGAAGUUUAGUAUAUAUAAUAUAAAAAAAUAUUAAUUUCGGUAAAUACAUUGCUAAAGUAAAUCGCAAGUAAAUUAUAUUCCUCUAAAACAGUGAACGGAAAACAUAAUAUACAUCUGGCCGGGUAGUAGCUAAGAUUUUAUUAUAUGUUGAUGUAUGUACGCAAUGUAGAGGUCUGCCGUGAUCAAUAUAAGUUUUUAAGACUAUAAUAAACAACAUAUUAUUAAAUCAAUGGCAGAUCUAGUCAAUUACUUUCAAAAUUUUGCAUUUUCAAUGCAAUUUAGCAUUUUCAAAGUGGUCUGCCACAAAGUAAAAUGCGCGAUAAUGGUCUGCCAUUCUUAUUUUCCGAUAAUAAUAAUCAUAUAUUUUCAAAAUUUCAAAACGGCAGACGUGGUCAAAUGGAUUUAAAAUCCGUCAAAAUCGGUACCUGUCCUACCUGAGCGCUCGGCGCGUCGACCACUUUGAGCUUAGUGAGUCCCCACCUCAUGCAUGGUAGGUAUAGGGGUCUCAAUGUACGAAAAUUCAGGUCUGGUCAAAUACAUACAGGUAGAUCCCACGGGCUCUCGGGCUAGUACCAUAACCAGGAAAAAACGUCCGUAACGUAAGAUUUUUAUUAGUAAUGCACACAGUGUACGACUAACUUUGUAAUAAAGUACAAAUUAGUAAUGCACACAGUGUACGACUUAACUUUGUAAUAACGUACAAAAAAUAACAUAUUUUUUUAUCAUUCAUUGACCACGAUGUCAGAGCGUUCGUCUGCACAAUACACUAACUCUUAUGCAAACAACCGUGAAUGAAAUGGACCCCCAUAAGUUCACACGUUACCGAAUGACCGUGGGUUGUUACGAAACCUCCAGUUUUAUUUUCUUUAUACCUCGAAUAGAACUUAAAAUUAAUAUUUUUAUAAUAAGGAACUUCGUUCCUAUCCGGUGUCCCACGACACCAUACUUAUUUUUUUUAUUUUUUUAUUUGUCCAAUACGUUCUAGUGAUUUAUAAUAUUCUUUAUUGAUUACUUAGUACUUAAAGGCUAAUACGGAAUGAUUAAUUUAAUUAAGAAAGAUUUAGUACUAAAUUGCAUUCUACCAUUUUAAACUAGAAUGUUUAAAACAGUGAAUAUUGUGGCUAAGCCAAAUAUAAGCGCAGUCAAAUAUUCUACUUUUUUUGAAAAGCAGGGACCAAAAAAGUGAAUAAUUUGGUAAUUGAGUAUAAUAUAAUCAAUAUUGAUGCAAAUAUUAUGUGGUUUUCUUAGUGGUUUUGAUUGCGAGAGGUUUGUGUGCAUGACAUUUUUUUCCCUACUUAUACUAGCGACUUCGAGGGUUUAUGCUAGAUUAAUAGGUGAGCUCAGGGGGCUUUAACCUGGUGUCGUGAAUGACAUCUUGUUGGAACUUAUAUUUAUCCAAAAUUAUUUUGAAAAUAUCGUAUAGCCGUAUAAAUAUAACUAUAGAUUUUUCAGAAUUUCGCUAUAGGUACAUACAAUAAAUUCACCUCAGCUAGUCUCCUUCGUUAAGGAGCUCGCAGUUGAUAAAAUUGAACAAUAGGCCUGUUCCCGUACCCAAGGCCCAAACGUCUUUUGUUUCUUUAGAUUCAAUUGAAAGCGAAGUGACAACAAAAGAAAUAUCCCAGCGCAGUUCGUCCAUAUAGCGGCCAUUGACCCUAACCACUGGACGUUCAUUGCACGACAUUCGGGAUCUCCUUGUAUUUUGUUCCCGUUGAACUAUUCUAUCCAUUUUCUUUCUUCUUCUUCUUUCUUCUAUCUCUAUUCUAAGUUAGCACCUACAAUAGUUACAGGAGAAAAUCGUAUCUUGAAGCUGUUGAAUAAGUUAUGUGCAGAACGAGCCCUACGAUUCACUUAAGUGAACGUUUUUGCAGCACGUCAAGGUUUUUUUUUUUUCAAUUGGACACUGUACAAUGACUGUCCGUCUUUCAAGCCGGGACAUUCCUGCUUCGUCGCAGAAGAAGUGAUAGUAACUCUCGUUUUUAGGUUAGAAUUGGUUACAAUACUUUGAAUGGUGAAUGAGCUUAGGGCCAACUAAUCUUUAAUGGUUAUUGGAGAUUAUAGACAUCAAUAAAGUAAAUGACGCCAGCAAUCUUGAGACAUAAGACUUAUUUUCUAUUCUAUACUAUAAUGGUUGGUACUAUCAAAUCGGAACACAUUACUUUUCGCGACUGAAAUAAGCAGGGUUUUCACAUCUAGACGUAAUGGUUCACAAGACGCCCACCAUUAAUGAAUGCAAUUACAAUGUUUUCCGUAUUUUUAUAGACGAUAUUAUUAUUUUUCCUUUAUCGUGGGAAUUGUUCGUAUUAGGUACAUUUAUAAUUAGAAAAAUUUGUAGCCAUCCGCGGGAUUCGAACGCGGGCACAGUUAUAUCUACCUACAUAAUAUAUGAAUUCACCGGGCCGUCUUAUUCUUUAGGCCACGAUGACUACUUACUAUUCGAUUUUCAUUCCGUUCACCUAGCCGUGACUUGGGAUAAUGCGACACAAUAAACUCAGUAUAACAAAGAUCGUAAACAAAGGUUAUUUUUAUUUUUUUUAUUGUUGAAAUGGGUGGACAAGCUCACAGCCCACCUGGUAAUACGUGGUUACUGGAGCCCAUAGACAUCUACAGCGUAAAUGCGCCACCCACCUUAAGAGAUAAGUUCUAAGGUCUCAGUUUAGUUUCAACGGCUGCCCCACCCUUCGAACCGAAACGCAUUACUGCUUCACGGCAGAAAUAGGCAGGGUGGUGGUACCUACCCGUGCGGACUCACAAGUGGUCCUACCACCAGUAACUAUUUUUUCAACAACAAUACAAAAAAAGAAAUAAUACAACAAACAUUUGUGGAGACAGUGAUUUUCAUAUUAAAAUCCGUUGUGGAUUUUCACACAGAAAUUUCACAUUUAUGCUUAGUUAACAAAGUUCAAAAUCAUUUGUUCUUUGCUUCGGCGACUCUCGCUCCGUCGUGUAGAUUGUUUUGAGUGUUGACCCGCGCUUGCCUUCCAGCUGAUGGACUCCUAACUUGCAGCACAGACUCCACAACGACCUCCUCUACAAAUGGCUGAGUGUCGGAAUCUGAAAUGCCAAAUAAAAACAUUCUUCUAUUUAAAAAGUUUUUAAAAAACGUUGUUGCCUUUUUUAAUGAAUUUAUCGAUAAACUAGCGACCCGCCCUCGCUUCGCUUCGGAAACAUUAAAACACACAUGAAACCAAAAAAAAAAAAUAAAAAAAAAUUAAAAAAGUAGCCUAUGUUCAUCAGGGACAAUGUCAGCUUCUAAUGGAAAAAUAAUUUUUCAAAUCAGUCCAGUAGUUUCGGAGCCUAUUCGAAACAAACAAACAAACAAAUCUUUCCUCUUUAUAAUAUUAUCGACGAUAAACUAUCUCAUGAUCUACUUAGAGUGGUGGUUAGCGCCCACAGGCAUCACUACGUCCAUGCAGUUGCGCAGGUCAUUGACCUUGAGACAUAAAGCCUAGGUUACAAUUAAAUGGUUUAAAGCUGUUCCACGCUUCAAGCACGAACGCAUGACUGUAUCGCGGCAAAAAUAGACAGCUUGUUGAACAUUAACUUAACCAAUCUUUUUUUUUUUCUUUUUUUUGUGAAACUGUGUUCAGUAAAUUCGAAUUCAAGCAAGAGAGAGAGAGAGAGAGAGAGAGAACAUAAAGAACAUAGUUUAUUUUGUCGGUGGCGUGUCGUGAACGUAAAAUGACUAAUUUACAUCCGUUUACUUGGUGAUGGCAAAGAGUUCACGGUAGCGUUAUUUCAAAUAACAGCGGCGAUACCGUUCUCGAAAAUUCACUCACCGUCGUCCGAACAACAAAUUUAUUCUAAAUUAAAUAAAUGUUCUAUUAUUUUAUUAUAUAUUAGAUAUUAAUUCGAACACCGAUCACUUAACGGAUGCUUAAAUUAAAUUAUGUUAACAUAAAUAUAAGUGAAUUUUUAUACGUUCGCAAAAUAAAAUAACUCACUGAUGCUCUUUCCAGCCUGCAAGGUGGACCGCUGUGGAGCCCCAAGCACAAGGCAAGCGGAAACGGCAAGGAGCAAAACCAGUUGUAGUCGCAUCGUUAGGCGUACGUAAGCAGACUGCGCUCGGGAGUGAUCGUGGCUGUUUGAAACGUGUCCGAAGGGCUAUUCUGCGCGAUUAUAAUAAAAAAAAAAAUUACGCGCCAUUUGCAUUUUAAAAACGCGCCAUUUGCAUUAAAAACACAUUUUUCAAUAAAAUUAACGCUUUGUUUUCGUUAUAGAACAUAAUAAUAUUUAAUUUGUCAUUUGUAAUCAACAGCUCACUUCAAUCGCGCUCGGGAAACACCGUGGAGGGGAGCUCAUUCCGUAGCCGGAUGGUACGUGGCAAAAAAGACCUCUGGAAACGCACCGUCGAUGACCGCAGCGGCUCCAGAAUCAUCUCCUUCGGGCGAAUCAAUUGUAGCUAUAUCGACAUCAGAUACGAACGGCGAUAGCUUUGCGACUCGAACGAAUGAUGGAAGCAGAAAAAGGAUCGCACAAAGCAUCAGCGUCGCAUCAUCAGGAAAAACCGGAACUGGCAGAAGCUUCGCGUCAGCAUCAAGCUCAGCCGGUCACCCGUACUUAUUCCCAUUCUACAUCUCCCCAUUCCAAGGAUUCCCGAUAAACGACUGGGUUAGGAACGUUGAGAGUUUCUAUGACCCCAGUUUCGCCGGACACGGUGAGUCAAUCACGGCCGUGAACGAGAACGGGCAUAUCUAUGGCGAAAUUAACGGAGUACCAUUCGACAACAGUGCCAAGAGUGAUUCGUAACUAAUGCUUUGUAAGUGUUUUUUAGAUUUAAUUAUAAUCAAUUUAGUAUAAAUGAAAUAAAUUUGCGGUACAUGAA